Molecule: transfer RNA, 75 nt
Filed under: Alphaproteobacteria bacterium
Lineage: Bacteria; Pseudomonadati; Pseudomonadota; Alphaproteobacteria
Also listed under: 2 other names
Description: tRNA-Thr
Rfam family: tRNA
About the family: Transfer RNA (tRNA) molecules are approximately 80 nucleotides in length. Their secondary structure includes four short double-helical elements and three loops (D, anti-codon, and T loops). Further hydrogen bonds mediate the characteristic L-shaped molecular structure. tRNAs have two regions of fundamental functional importance: the anti-codon, which is responsible for specific mRNA codon recognition, and the 3' end, to which the tRNAs corresponding amino acid is attached (by aminoacyl-tRNA synthetases). tRNAs cope with the degeneracy of the genetic code in two manners: having more than one tRNA (with a specific anti-codon) for a particular amino acid; and 'wobble' base-pairing, i.e. permitting non-standard base-pairing at the 3rd anti-codon position.
Source: RNAcentral
GCUGCCGUAGCUCAGGGGUAGAGCACUCCCUUGGUAAGGGAGAGGCCCGGGGUUCAAUUCCCCGCGGCAGCACCA